UACCAUGGCGAUCACGGGUAACGGGGAAUUAGGGUUCGAUUCCGGAGAGGGAGCCUGAGAAAUGGCUACCACAUCUAAGGAAGGCAGCAGGCGCGUAAAUUACCCAAUCCUAAUUCAGGGAGGUAGUGACAAGAAAUAACAACUCGGACCUCACACGAGGUUACGAGAUUGCAAUGAGAACAAUUUAAACCUCUUAUCGAGUAACAAUUGGAGGGCAAGUCUGGUGCCAGCAGCCGCGGUAAUUCCAGCUCCAAUAGCGUAUAUUAAAGUUGUUGCAGUUAAAAAGCUCGUAGUUGGAUUUCUGGGAGGUUGCCAAUGUCCGAUGUUUUCGUGUGCAGCGGUGACCUCCCAUCCUUCAGUUAACACUUCUUGGGAUUUAUUUCCUGGUGGUGGGCUCUGAUAUUUUACCUUGAGAAAAUUAGAGUGUUUCAGGCAGGCUUGCGCCGGAAUACAUUAGCAUGGAAUAAUAGAAUAGGACUUUGGUCUCCUUCGUUGGUUUGAGGGGCUGAAGUAAUGAUUAAUAGGGAUAGUUGGGGGCAUUAGUAUUUAAUUGUCAGAGGUGAAAUUCUCGGAUUUGUUAAAGACUAACUUAU
This 593-nucleotide ribosomal RNA is filed under the name uncultured ciliate. RNAcentral's name for it is "bacterial SSU rRNA". It matches the Rfam family "Eukaryotic small subunit ribosomal RNA", at positions 342 to 944 of the family's 1831-position model. Lineage: Eukaryota; Ciliophora. The record is from RNAcentral.